GACGAACGCUGGCGGCGUGCUUAACACAUGCAAGUCGAACGAAGUGGCGAACGGGUGAGUAACGCGUAAUCAACCUGCCCUUCAGAGGGGGACAACAGUUGGAAACGAAUGCUAAAACCGAAUACUGAAGGAGGGGAUUGCGUCUGAUUAGCUAGUUGGAUGGGUAAAGGCCCACCAAGGGGAUGAUACGUAGCCGGGCUGGGCGGAUGAACGGCCAAAUUGGGACUGGGACACGGCCCAGACUCCUAAGGGAGGCAGCAAUGGGGAAUCUUCCGCAAUGGGCGAAAGUCUGACUGAGCAACGCCGCGUGAGUGAUGACGGCCUUCGGGUUGUAAAGCUCUGUUAAUCGGGACGCGGUACCGGAAUAGAAAGCCACGGCUAACUACGUGCCAGCAGCCGCGGUAAUAC
RNAcentral lists this ribosomal RNA (408 nucleotides) under uncultured bacterium. RNAcentral's name for it is "partial 16S ribosomal RNA". It matches the Rfam family "Bacterial small subunit ribosomal RNA", at positions 28 to 526 of the family's 1533-position model. The record is from RNAcentral.